Molecule: ribosomal RNA, 216 nt
Filed under: Stenobrachius leucopsarus (northern lampfish)
Lineage: Eukaryota; Metazoa; Chordata; Actinopteri; Myctophiformes; Myctophidae
Description: partial 16S ribosomal RNA
Source: RNAcentral
AUGAAGCUUAAGAUACAAAGCGACCCAUGUCAAACACCCCCUUAAAGGAAAUGAACGAAAUGAACUCCGCUGGAAUAUCUUCGGUUGGGGCGACCGCGGGGAAAGACAAAACCCCCACAUGGACUAGGGCUACUGCAGCCCUAAAACCUAGACCCACAGGUCAAAUCAACAGUACUUCUGACCACCAAAGAGCCGGCAAUGCCGAUCGACGGACCG